AAGGGAUACCAGAAGUAGGUAGCUCAACCGCAAGGAAAGCGCUUACCACGGUAUGUUUCAUGACUGGGGUGAAGUCGUAACAAGGUUUCCGUAGGUGAACCUGCAGAAGGAUCA
RNAcentral lists this ribosomal RNA (114 nucleotides) under uncultured eukaryote. Its description in RNAcentral is "partial small subunit ribosomal RNA". It matches the Rfam family "Bacterial small subunit ribosomal RNA", at positions 1412 to 1525 of the family's 1533-position model. The record is from RNAcentral.